GCCUCUUCCUCUCGGUCCCAUAUUGAACUCGAUUUGGAAGAGGCGAGUCCGAUCUCAAA
This 59-nucleotide microRNA precursor is filed under the name Nomascus leucogenys (northern white-cheeked gibbon). RNAcentral's name for it is "miRNA (ENSNLEG00000034736.1)". The record is from RNAcentral. Lineage: Eukaryota; Metazoa; Chordata; Mammalia; Primates; Hylobatidae.